AAGGAAAACUCUCCUUUUUCAUUUUUAAUGCUUUUAAUUCUGCCAGGAUAAUCAGUGGUCAAGUGGUUAGAGUACAGGGUGCAAGUAAACACACUGUGUGCAAUGCUGGAAAGCUUUUCCUCAAUAGUUUUAUACAGUCUGUAACAGACACAAUUCAAUUGACAUUUGAACGUCCUGCAACCACAACUAGUGCUCACUCCAGUGCAUACUCCCUCUUGUGGUGUAACUGAGUAACCACACUUUUAGAAAUACAGUUUAUAACCAUUGGAAAAUACAUUUAAAUCUGGCCUUUUUUAUAAGAACUGUAUCAAAUAGCAAUUCCAGUUUUCCAAUUGUGACCAUGCAUGCCAGUUUAACACACACAUAUAGGGUUUAGGUAUGUAAAAAUGUUCCACAGUUUCCAUACAUUAAGUUAUUAUCAGUGUGUUCUAGUGGUGCAUGUCCAAACACCUUGUGAGAACUGAGAACUACAGGGUUGGCAACUUGAUAAUGAUUAUUAUGUAUAAAUCCUAUUUAAGUAUUGAAUCAUCUUUCUAACUCAAACUCUUCUGUACAUUAUGUGUAUGUGCAUGUGUAUGUCUGUCUACUUUUCAGGGUAUGACAUUCUUUGAGGUCACAGGCGUGUUGAGGUGAGUUCCCAUCUGCCUUCUAUGAAGACCUCUCCUUACAACCUACUGGAUUACAAGAGACCCUCCAGGACUUAAGGGCCAUGUCCAAACCCAUGGUGAAGAUAGUUGGGGUGGCCUGAACUGUAUGUGCUUCCCUUGUCCCGACCAGACAUUUCAGCAUUGCUGUGAGAUGGUUGUAUUUCUUUGUGUAACAUUUGGACAUAAAGACCAGUAACCCUCAAUAAAUCUUCAAAGAAC
This is a long non-coding RNA of Larimichthys crocea (large yellow croaker), 866 nucleotides long. RefSeq lists it as uncharacterized. The record is from RefSeq and is a predicted model, not a curated record. The transcript has 2 exons. NCBI's taxonomy places the organism in Eukaryota, Metazoa, Chordata, Actinopteri, Sciaenidae.